Molecule: transfer RNA, 70 nt
Filed under: marine eukaryotic metagenome
Rfam family: tRNA
About the family: Transfer RNA (tRNA) molecules are approximately 80 nucleotides in length. Their secondary structure includes four short double-helical elements and three loops (D, anti-codon, and T loops).
Source: RNAcentral
GCCUGUAGCUCAGUUGGUUAGAGCAGUGGACUCAUAAUCCAUUGGUCGCAGGUUCGAGUCCUGCCGGGCC